GCCUUCGUGGUGUAGUGGUCAGCACGCUUUGCGCGUAUUCCAGAGAUCCGAGGUUCGAGUCCUGGCGAGGGCA
Molecule: transfer RNA, 73 nt
Filed under: Stegodyphus mimosarum
Lineage: Eukaryota; Metazoa; Arthropoda; Arachnida; Araneae; Eresidae
Rfam family: tRNA
About the family: Transfer RNA (tRNA) molecules are approximately 80 nucleotides in length.
Source: Rfam by way of RNAcentral